Molecule: long non-coding RNA, 1635 nt
Organism: Macaca fascicularis (crab-eating macaque)
Lineage: Eukaryota; Metazoa; Chordata; Mammalia; Primates; Cercopithecidae
Source: Ensembl
UUUUUUUUUUUUUUUUUGCCUUGUAGUAUGUGAGAAUGAUCAAGAAAUCAGGUCCCCAGGGUCAGGGGCCAGAGUGGAAACUGGCUGAUGCCCAAACCUGUGGGAGGGAAUUAUGGGGUGAAAAGAAACUCUAGCAUCCAGCAGAGGGAAAAGGUAGACAGAAGAGAGGUGUCCGGUGCGUGCCUCAUGGCCACCAUCCUUUACUCUCUUUCUCCCACUUCUGGACCCAGCCACGUGGCUUGGUUGUUUGGGGAGUAGGGGAGUUUGUGGCAUUGGCCUUGUGGUGUUCAAGGGAGGAAGAGGAAAGAGGGAUCAGGGAAUGGACCCUCCUUGCUGGGAGCAGCACUUCUCUUCUCUCCUGGCCACAAGGUGGACAGCACAGAACAAGAGCUUGCAGUUGUCUCAUGAUUGACUUUUUCCAAAGGCUUUCCAACUGCCUCUUUCACAUAGUCAUCUCCAUACAACCAAGCCCUCUGAUUUCCAGAAGAGGCCAAGGUUGUAAUUUGCUUCCUCCUGCUCCAGGACUAAUAUUAGAAAGGAUAUGAGUCCUCCUUUGCCUAUAAGGGUUUGGGCCCUGUCCUCCGUGGUACCCAAGUUCUAGACCCAGGGAGUUCUUGCAGCUGUCAGUCAGGCAGCAAGAGGCAUUGAGUCUCUGUGGAGCAGGGACUCACUCGGCUCACAGCGUGGACUCUGCUCAACACAGCCUACUGAUGAGGCUAAAAUGUGCUGUGAGCACAGCCUUGGCCUGACCCUUUGCGGCACAUUUCACUCCACGCUUCAGCAUCCCCAGGGUAUAGCCAUUGUUCCAGUUUUAACAGAUGAGAAAUUAAGGCUUGGAACAGUAAGGUAUCUGUGCAGGUCGCACAGCCACACCUUGCUGCAGGUGAGGGAUCCAGGGUGUGAACUCGGCAGUCUGGCUCCUGCUGAACUAUGGCCCCAAGGUGUGAGGCUGUGAGGGGCCCACAGUGGCCCAAGCCUGGGCUGGAGAGCACAGAUAGCAAGGGCUGAAUAGUACUUACCACCCAAGGCACUUAAGCACGCCAUGACCCUAACAAGGUAAGGGUUUAUAGAUGACAAAAUAAGCAUAAGGAGUGACAAAGUGCCCGGAGUGACAAAGUGCCCAAAGUGACACAGUUAGUAAUGCCAGAGAUGUCAGUGCUUUUUCAUCAGCGUUUCUUGACCUUUAAUGUGCAUGCGUGUGAUCACCUAGGGAUCUUGUUAAAAUGCAGAUCUAGGCUCAGCCAGUCUGGGGUAUCGCCCAAGACCCUGCAUUUCCAGCAAGCUUCCCUGUGAUGCCGAUGCUGCUGGCCUGUGGGCCAUGAGUCAAGCAGCCAGGCUUUGUGCUAUCUUUGCCUCUUGAUAGUUCAGCUGCCUUUUUGUAAUCAAUUAGGCUUUCCCAAAUAGCUCCAUGUGUUAGCAGGAAUAAUUUUAGCUAAUAUCUAUUGAGUGCUUACUGAAUAUCAGGCCCUGUAUUAAGAGCUUUAUAUGGAUUAUCUCUUUGAUUAAAUGAGGUAGGAUACAGUUAUUGUCUCCAUUUUAUUUUUUCCCAUUUUUCAUUUACUAAAAAUGUUGGUUAUAGAACAGCAGCAUCGCAGUUAGUCAUGAUAUCAAGUAGUCAGCUUAUUUAAUAUAGCA